AUUAUGGCUCAGAUUGAACGCUGGCGGCAGGCCUAACACAUGCAAGUCGAGCGGAUGACGGGAGCUUGCUCCUUGAUUCAGCGGCGGACGGGUGAGUAAUGCCUAGGAAUCUGCCUGGUAGUGGGGGACAACGUUUCGAAAGGAACGCUAAUACCGCAUACGUCCUACGGGAGAAAGCAGGGGACCUUCGGGCCUUGCGCUAUCAGAUGAGCCUAGGUCGGAUUAGCUAGUUGGUGGGGUAAUGGCUCACCAAGGCGACGAUCCGUAACUGGUCUGAGAGGAUGAUCAGUCACACUGGAACUGAGACACGGUCCAGACUCCUACGGGAGGCAGCAGUGGGGAAUAUUGGACAAUGGGCGAAAGCCUGAUCCAGCCAUGCCGCGUGUGUGAAGAAGGUCUUCGGAUUGUAAAGCACUUUAAGUUGGGAGGAAGGGCAGUAAGUUAAUACCUUGCUGUUUUGACGUUACCGACAGAAUAAGCACCGGCUAACUCUGUGCCAGCAGCCGCGGUAAUACAGAGGGUGCAAGCGUUAAUCGGAAUUACUGGGCGUAAAGCGCGCGUAGGUGGUUUGUUAAGUUGGAUGUGAAAGCCCCGGGCUCAACCUGGGAACUGCAUCCAAAACUGGCAAGCUAGAGUACGGUAGAGGGUGGUGGAAUUUCCUGUGUAGCGGUGAAAUGCGUAGAUAUAGGAAGGAACACCAGUGGCGAAGGCG
Molecule: ribosomal RNA, 712 nt
Filed under: Pseudomonas sp. 120516_NH_C2_C7
Lineage: Bacteria; Pseudomonadati; Pseudomonadota; Gammaproteobacteria; Pseudomonadales; Pseudomonadaceae
Description: bacterial SSU rRNA
Rfam family: Bacterial small subunit ribosomal RNA
Source: RNAcentral